UCCAGAAUGUCAUCCCACCCUUUGACCUUCAGAAUAUUUUCGUUCAUCUAAUUAAAUCCCUUUCAUGGUCACUUGGGCUCAUUUCAACCUUCUCUGCCCAGAGUGGGGACAGAGGACAAUCCGCAGCACUGUCCCAGUCAGAACUUUUUUAAGCCUGAUGGUAGUUACCAAGCUUCUGUUGGGUCUAAAGCUUUUGAGGUGAAGCCUAAAUUUAAUGACUCUCCUUCUAGCUCCUCAAGAAAGCAUGAGAGGCUGGCUUCAUUACUCCACGAAAGGCUGUUGGAAGAGAAAAGCGGAUUCGUUGGGCGGUGUCGAGGACAAAGGCAAGAAUAGAGCUACAGAAAAUCACCAAAGAGAAGAAAUAAAAAUACACAAAAACCAUCUUCUGCAUUACUAGGAAAAAGAAAACUCUGCAACCUUCAAAUGCGUUGUGAUUAGAAAAACAUCGCUUGGUGAUGGUGCAGUUAAGAGAAAUCAGGAAAGAAGAGGAAAAUUAAGGAUUCUGAAGAAAUAAAAGAGAAACAAAACAUGCAACUCUUGCCCUUCCUCUGCCCAACAAAACAAAUCAUCAUUAAAAUAACCUACUCCAAAGGACACAAAACUGACAGAGAGUGUUGUUCUCAAGCUAAGAACUCUUGUUAAUGAAAUGAAUAUGACCAAUAAAAAAGCAUACUACAUCUACACAAAGUUACUGUAAAAAGUAAGAUGAUGUGAAUAAAACUCUUCUGCUGAUGAAAAUUCUCCAUUUCAAUGAACCAUGAAGCUGAAGUAAACUUUAACACCUCAUUCUAAAUGGAAUUAAAUAUCCUCAAACAAGAUUCAGAGAUAUGAAAAAAAAAUCCCUCAAAACACCUUGAAUACAAAACACAAAAACUAAGAACACACAUAGACAGAAAAAGAAAGAAUGAAACAUGAGUUACUGGAACUCGGGAAA
This is a long non-coding RNA of Felis catus (domestic cat), 934 nucleotides long. RefSeq lists it as uncharacterized. The record is from RefSeq and is a predicted model, not a curated record. The transcript has 3 exons. NCBI's taxonomy places the organism in Eukaryota, Metazoa, Chordata, Mammalia, Carnivora, Felidae.